AGUGAACGCUGGCGGUAGGCCUAACACAUGCAAGUCGAACGGCAGCACAGUAAGAGCUUGCUCUUACGGGUGGCGAGUGGCGGACGGGUGAGGAAUACAUCGGAAUCUACUUUUUCGUGGGGGAUAACGUAGGGAAACUUACGCUAAUACCGCAUACGACCUACGGGUGAAAGCAGGGGAUCUUCGGACCUUGCGCGAUUGAAUGAGCCGAUGUCGGAUUAGCUAGUUGGCGGGGUAAAGGCCCACCAAGGCGACGAUCCGUAGCUGGUCUGAGAGGAUGGUCAGCCACACGGGAACGGAGACACGGUCCAGACUCCUACGGGAGGCAGCAGUGGGGAAUAUUGGACAAUGGGCGCAAGCCUGAUCCAGCCAUACCGCGUGGGUGAAGAAGGCCUUCGGGGUGUAAAGCCCUUUUGUUGGGAAAGAAAAGCAGCAGGUUAAUACCCCGCUGUUCUGACGGUACCCAAAGAAUAAGCACCGGCUAACUUCGUG
RNAcentral lists this ribosomal RNA (492 nucleotides) under uncultured bacterium. RNAcentral's name for it is "partial 16S ribosomal RNA". It matches the Rfam family "Bacterial small subunit ribosomal RNA", at positions 29 to 507 of the family's 1533-position model. The record is from RNAcentral.